Molecule: non-coding RNA, 222 nt
Organism: Vicia faba (fava bean)
Lineage: Eukaryota; Viridiplantae; Streptophyta; Magnoliopsida; Fabales; Fabaceae
Source: the annotation of a GenBank genome assembly
AUGGUCUCAAUAAUUUCCAUUGCCCUUGGUGGAAUUCUUGCUGGUUCAGUUACCAGCCAUACUGGCGGUGUUCAAAAGAUUACCGAUGAAAACUAUCAUCAGAUGGUUUUGAUUACAAGCAUGCUUGAAGGAACUUUGCUUGGUCAUGAACAUUACUCGUUUGGUUUUAGUAAAGCAUUCAAAAUGGACAUUUUUAUGUUGCUUGUUCAAGAAGAAAAUUAG